GUGGCCGGGAACGCGCUGGCUGUCCAGUGGACUUCUGAGGACCCUCGCCUCCUCCGAAUCUCCAUCCUGAACUUUCUCGACCAGCUUUUCCUGGUGGUGCAGACCAUGCAGCGCUUUGGGCCCCCUGUCUCCCGCUAAGCCCGGGCCACAGGGGCCUGGGGCCUGACCUCAUGCCCCUCCUGCCAGCGCCCCCUUCCCUAGGGCAUUGAUUCCUAGAGUAGUUGCCACUUUCUUACUGGAGCCUAAUUUUUUGCUGCACUGGGCUUUGGGUGCUGUGGGCCCACUUGUUUUAUUUGGUGCUUAAAUGUUUUUUUCCUGCAGAAAAUUAAAACGAGCUGCGAUUCCCUGCCUGAGUUCCUUCACAGCUUCCACACCUCCAGAUUUUCUUGCCUUUGUUCUCUGGUUGGAGGGGAGGCUCUGGGAUUCAGAUAUUCAAGUAGUACAAGUUGCCGAACCACUACUGAUAUAUCAUGAACCGAAGUCCAGAGUUUACAGGAGGGCUCACUCCUUUGUUAAAAAACAAAAUUCACAGGGAAAGAACUGAAGCUGGAACUGUGACCCAUGACAAUUUUUGAAAUUACCUAUAUAACUGAUUGUUGAACUGUACAUCGAAAGUUAACGCCUUUCUGCAUGAAUGUUUUACAUUAAUGGAAGUGGCCGAAGUGGAACUGUGACCCGUGACAUUCUCUGAAGUUUGUUCUCUGACUACUUGUAGAAUCCUACUUUGAAAGUUAUCACUGUUAUGUAUAUAUGUUAAAGUUCACAACAAAGAAAUGCAAAAAAAAUUCAUUUUCUUUAGAUUGAAA
Choloepus didactylus (southern two-toed sloth) is the source of this 806-nucleotide long non-coding RNA. RefSeq lists it as uncharacterized. Lineage: Eukaryota; Metazoa; Chordata; Mammalia; Pilosa; Megalonychidae. The record is from RefSeq and is a predicted model, not a curated record. The transcript has 2 exons.